AGACCAUGGUGAGGACAUUUCCUAAGCAAUUCCUUAAAUCUCUCCCCACGAUUCAUAUAAGGAUUUGUUACCAAAUUAUGAAAAAGUUGUUAUGUCAUUUCUUAAUUU
Molecule: small nucleolar RNA, 108 nt
Organism: Diospyros lotus (date-plum)
Lineage: Eukaryota; Viridiplantae; Streptophyta; Magnoliopsida; Ericales; Ebenaceae
Source: RefSeq, a predicted model, not a curated record